Molecule: ribosomal RNA, 590 nt
Filed under: uncultured bacterium
Lineage: Bacteria
Description: partial 16S ribosomal RNA
Rfam family: Bacterial small subunit ribosomal RNA
Source: RNAcentral
UGGGGAAUCUUCCGCAAUGGACGAAAGUCUGACGGAGCAACGCCGCGUGAGUGAAGAAGGUUUUCGGAUCGUAAAACUCUGUCUUUUGGGGCGAACGUGAGUAUGGUGAACAAUCAUAGUCAGUGACGGUACCAAAGGAGGAAGCCACGGCUAACUACGUGCCAGCAGCCGCGGUAAUACGUAGGUGGCAAGCGUUGUCCGGAAUUAUUGGGCGUAAAGAGCGCGUAGGCGGGAUAGUCAGUCUGUUGUAAAAGUGCGGGGCUCAACCCCGUGAUGGCAAUGGAAACAGCUAUUCUUGAGUGCAGGAGAGGAAAGUGGAAUUCCCAGUGUAGCGGUGAAAUGCGUAGAUAUUGGGAGGAACACCAGUGGCGAAGGCGACUUUCUGGACUGUGUCUGACGCUGAGGCGCGAAAGCCAGGGGGAGCGAACGGGAUUAGAUACCCCGGUAGUCCUGGGCCGUAAACGAUGGGUACUAGGUGUGGGAGGUAUCGACCCCUUCCGUGCCGGAGUUAACGCAAUAAGUACCCCGCCUGGGGAGUACGGUCGCAAGACUGAAACUCAAAUGAAUUGACGGGGUCAUAGCUGUUUCCU